UGCCCGCAAGGGAAUGUAGUGAGAGGUGCUGCAUGGCUGUCGUCAGCUCGUGUUGUGAAAUGUUGGGUUAAGUCUCGCAACGAGCGCAACCCCUAUCGUCUGUUGCCAGCAUUAAGUUGGGCACUCUGACGAGACUGCCUGGGUUAACCAGGAGGAAGGUGGGGAUGACGUCAAGUCCUCAUGGCCCUUAUGUCUAGGGCUACACACGUAAUACAAUGGCGCGUACAAAGGGAAGCGAACUCGCAAGGGGGAGCAAAUCUCAAAAAGCGCGUCUCAGUUCGGAUUGGAGUCUGCAACUCGACUCCAUGAAGUUGGAAUCGCUAGUAAUCGGAGAUCAGCACGCUCC
This 346-nucleotide ribosomal RNA is filed under the name uncultured Peredibacter sp. Its description in RNAcentral is "bacterial SSU rRNA". It matches the Rfam family "Bacterial small subunit ribosomal RNA", at positions 1014 to 1360 of the family's 1533-position model. The record is from RNAcentral. Lineage: Bacteria; Pseudomonadati; Bdellovibrionota; Bacteriovoracia; Bacteriovoracales; Bacteriovoracaceae.